AAUGGCUCCGUUCUGCAGCGUAUUUGAUUUUAUGACACAGAUUCGUUUUAAAGUGGAGUUUUAAUUUCUACUGUAAGAAUUGUUGUGCCGGCAGUUCUGAAAGUCACUGCUAGUUAAAGUCCAGUCGGAGAGUGAAGAAUUAUCGAAGUUCGGGAAGCUGAAGGAUCGAGAAAAGUUGGUGUUGUUGGCGGUGAAACAGGUUCGAUUUGAUCCUCAUUCGGAAGGAAUUAGUAACUUGCAAUCCAAAAUAGUCCCUGCUAAAGAGCAGAAAGGACUGGAGCAAGGAAAGAUCAAUGCCUUUAAGUCGUUUUAUUUCCUUCGCCGUAAAUCCUUCGGGCAAGGAUGAGCAGUAACGUUGUGACGUCGAGGAAAUUAUUACUUCAAGGAGCCCUUCACCCACCGUUUCCGGAAGUAGCAGCUUCUCACGACUUGUCGUGCGCUGGAUCACAAUUCGUGCAACCACCACCUCUGGAAGAGCGAUGGUCAGAGACUGAAUUACACUGUCAACCUUCCAAUGUGCAGUUGGAUCAAAUGUUGACCCCGGUUUAAAAACUAAAGUACCGUUCCUGGUAAAGUAUGCCUUCGGACCACUGCCACAAGAGACGGAUCAAGAUUCAACCAACCAGAAUGAACCCCCCAGACUGCAAACUGGAGACUUCAUGCUAAUCAAGGACUGGGAUCACCCCAAGCUCAAACCAAGGUCAUUCCAGAUAUUCCUUCAGACGCCAAAUGGAGUCAAAGUCCGAGGACAGAAUCGCUGAAUCCAUCUGAGUGACUACAAACGAUGGGCCCCACAAGUAACUUAAAGACUGUUAUUGGACUUUCUGUUAUUAUGGCCACCUUAAUUGUAUCCGGACUUGAGGACAAUUUGUUUUGUAAAACUCAUAUACAUUUCCAUGGUAAUCGAACUGUGUGUUACCCGCUUGCCCAGUCAGUAGAGGCAUUAUUUGUAGCCAACCCUGUGUGGGACCCCACCCUCCGACCUUUAUACCACAGAUACUUCAGAGCGUGGGUCUGAGUGAAAAUGUCAGGACAGGUAGGAGAGCUGAUAAAAGAUAGGUCUCAGUUCCCCAACUGCACAGGAACCCAGGGAGAAAUCGUAGGAUUUGCUCUGAUCCCAUGAGCUAUCUACUUUGUUUCUCAGGAUGGGGAUAGGGAUGCGCCAACACUUUGAUCCCCACAAAUGCCUCUUGUGCCCAAAGACAAUGUGCCUGCAGACAUUGCCGGGUGAGCAAUGGAAUAUUCUUCUGCACCUGUGAUGAGGAAAGGUGUUUAAACGUUACUGCAUGAAGACAGCUCAUUUGUGGGCGCUGCAACGGAACUCACGUCAGCUCUGACUCCUGGUCAUAGCCUUUUACCGACUACCAACUCAAGGGUUCGGAGUCGGGAGGUAACUCCAGCCUGGAAAGAAACUGGAAAUCUAAGCAGUUUGCGAGUUUCAAUGACAUGCUAGAAUCUGUCCUGAUGACAUGCAGGAGUUUAGAUACUGAUCGCACAAUUUGUUCUUGGGUGGAUGACCUUUGCUUCUGCUUUAGGUGUUUCAGUAUUCUCUGUCUCGUACCAUCACUGUUGCCAGGCAUGUGGCUAUGGGGGUGGCUGAAAAUUGUAUCUUGCAUACAUGACUGACUGUGGUGUAAAACUCUAUAAAAAGGGAGGACUGUUCCCUUGUUCGUACAGCAUCACUUGACAGAGCUCCGCAAGCACUGCGAAGUUUGUUAAGCAAUCCUCCAAAA
Long non-coding RNA from Hypanus sabinus (Atlantic stingray), 1733 nucleotides. RefSeq lists it as uncharacterized. Lineage: Eukaryota; Metazoa; Chordata; Chondrichthyes; Myliobatiformes; Dasyatidae. The transcript is spliced from 3 exons. The record is from RefSeq and is a predicted model, not a curated record.